Molecule: long non-coding RNA, 2352 nt
Filed under: Solanum tuberosum (potato)
Lineage: Eukaryota; Viridiplantae; Streptophyta; Magnoliopsida; Solanales; Solanaceae
Description: long non-coding RNA (STUB_LNC001396)
Source: RNAcentral
UUGGUACUUAUGCUUAACAAAUAUAUUAUUUCUAAAUUUAAAGCUAAGUGUCAACACUAGAUGGACACAAAUCGAUCUUGCAAGAAAAUCAAUUUUGUCAUCAAUAGGAUCAACUAGUGUUGGUACUUAUGCUUACCAAAUAUAUUAUUUCUAAAUUUAAAGCUAAGUGUCAACACUAGAUGGACACAAAUCGAUCUUGCAAGAAAAUCAAUUUUGUCAUCAAUAGGAUCAACUAGUGUUGGUACUUAUGCUUAACAAAUAUAUUAUUUCUAAAUUGAAAGCUAAGUGUCAACAAUAGAUGGACAGAAAUUGAUCUUGCAAGAAAAUCAAUUUUGUCAUCAAUAGGAUCAACUAGUGUUGGUACUUAUGCUUAACAAAUAUAUUAUUUCUAAAUUGAAAGCUAAGUGUCAACAAUAGAUGGACAGAAAUUGAUCUUGCAAGAAAAUCAAUUUUGUCAUCAAUAGGAUCAACUAGUGUUGGUACUUAUGCUUAACAAAUAUAUUAUUUCUAAAUUGAAAGCUAAGUGUCAACAAUAGAUGGACAGAAAUUGAUCUUGCAAGAAAAUCAAUUUUGUCAUCAAUAGGAUCAACUAGUGUUGAUAUUUAUGCUUAACAAAUUUAUUAUUUCUAAAUUUAAAGCUAAGUGUCAACACUAGAUGGACACAAAUCGAUUUUGUAAAAAAUUCAAUUUUGUCAUCAAUAGGAUCAACUAGUGUUGGUACUUAUGCUAAACAAACACUCAAUGGACACAAACAAAUUAUCAUAAAAUUAAAGCUAACUAUCAAUAUUAGGUGGACACAAACACAUUAUAGAAAACAAUUGUACUUGAACUUUAGAAAUUUAGAAGCACCAAACCUUAUCUCCUACUUUGAUGAAAGAAGCAAUAUAGUCUUGUAUCAACUUUUUUAGAUGUUGAGCUUCCUCAGUUGCCUAGCACGAAAAGAAACAAUUUAAAAUUUCUUUAGUGGUCAUUAUAGAGAGAUCUCAGUCAUUAUUAACAGUUGACAAUUGGUAAACACCUAAUUCCUUCAUCUAUUCAAGAUUUCCGACUUUUGAAAGCAUCACUUGGAAAUUACAAUGCAACUCAUUUGUGUUUGACGAUCUCUUGUUAGAGAAGUAAUUGAUUUUACCAGAUCUUCUUGUUUAUGAGCUACAUAAUGUGUAUUUUAUCUUCUCAAAUAGGUUUCAUACAUAGCACUUGCAUCUUUUUCUCUUUGGUGGACUCUUAUGGUUUCUCCUUUUCCACUAUUGUUUGUAUAUCUUUUAUUAGAAUCUUUGUCCAUUUUGUACUUUUUUCUUAUAAUGAAGCUGUCUUGACCCCACACCCACUCCACAAAAUUGUUAGAAACUUGGUCCUGUAAAAGCUUAAUCUUGACAUGUUGAAUAUAACACUAAAAAGUAAAAACUACCUCCUCUAUCGAAACAUCUAGUGUUGGCCUCAAUAUUGUAGUGCUGGCCUCAAUAUUUGUUAGUCUUAAGACUAUAUUCAAAGGUAGUUUCUAAGUAUAGGCACCCCAAUACUUACACUAACAAUAAUUUCCAAACAUCUGUUCUUGCUGGUGAGCUAUCUCUGCUGGCCAACUGGUUAAAAGUCACAUAUUUCCCAAGUAAUCUCUUCCUCUUAGUGACUGUGAGGAUUAAUUAGCCCCCCACUUGAUCCUGUACAUUACCACCCCUACUAUUUUUAUAUUCCAAUAAUAAAUAAAAAAUAAGGAAUAAAAUUUUCACAAUUAGGAGGGAGAUGUAGAAGCAGAAGAAGUAAUUUGAACCAAAAUAUAAUAUAAAGUAAUAAUCCUAAAUCAUCCCCUUCUAUUUUAUCCUCAUUUUCUCCUAAAUGAUCCUCUCUCUCUCUCUCCCUCUCACAAAAUUACAACGAAAAAAGACAAUUACAGUAGUGUUUAAAGGAGUAUUAUCAGAUCUGGAACCAUAUCAUUUUAAGUUGUUUCUAAAAAGAAAUCAAAGCUUUAUUUUUACAUGGGCAAGGAUUUUUCAGUAAAUGAAUAAAAACACCAUGAAAAAAUAUACUUACCUUAUAAAUUGACUUCUGCGACGGCGAGCUGCGUCGCCGGCAAGCUUCUGCGACUGAGAGCUGCGACGCCCUUUGCUCUCUGCUGCUGCCGAACUCUGUGCGCUGCUAUUGCAGCCCUCUGCUGCUGCGACCUGCGGCUGAGGCUGCGCCCGUCGGAGAUGGUGGCGUGGCGCCGGUCGGGAAUGGGUGGGGUCAGCGCCGGUCCGGGAAAGGUGGGUGGGUGGUCGUGAGAGAGAUUAUUUUAUUGAUAUAUUUGUUUCUCUUUCCUCUUUUUUCUCAAUUUUUGUUUUCUCUAAAUCUAAUUUGAAUCAAUUUUAAUUACUC